RNAcentral lists this ribosomal RNA (167 nucleotides) under Clostridiales bacterium. RNAcentral describes it as "partial 23S ribosomal RNA". It matches the Rfam family "Bacterial large subunit ribosomal RNA", at positions 2759 to 2925 of the family's 2925-position model. The record is from RNAcentral. Lineage: Bacteria; Bacillati; Bacillota; Clostridia; Eubacteriales.
GAGAUAAACGCUGAAGGCAUCUAAGCGUGAAACUCCCCCUAAGAUAAGAUCUCCCAUCCAUUAGGAGUAAGGGUCGAAGAAGACUACUUCGUUGAUAGGCCAGCGGUGUAAGCACAGUGAUGUGUUCAGCCUACUGGUACUAAUAACCCGAGGGCUUGACCUACAGU